GCUCCUGUAGCUCAGUGGACGAGAGCGGCUGGCUUCGAACCAGCAGGUCGCGGGUUCAACUCCUGCCGGGAGCGCCA
This 77-nucleotide transfer RNA is filed under the name Verrucomicrobiaceae bacterium. RNAcentral describes it as "tRNA-Arg". It matches the Rfam family "tRNA". Rfam says of the family: Transfer RNA (tRNA) molecules are approximately 80 nucleotides in length. Their secondary structure includes four short double-helical elements and three loops (D, anti-codon, and T loops). Further hydrogen bonds mediate the characteristic L-shaped molecular structure. tRNAs have two regions of fundamental functional importance: the anti-codon, which is responsible for specific mRNA codon recognition, and the 3' end, to which the tRNAs corresponding amino acid is attached (by aminoacyl-tRNA synthetases). tRNAs cope with the degeneracy of the genetic code in two manners: having more than one tRNA (with a specific anti-codon) for a particular amino acid; and 'wobble' base-pairing, i.e. permitting non-standard base-pairing at the 3rd anti-codon position. The record is from RNAcentral. Lineage: Bacteria; Pseudomonadati; Verrucomicrobiota; Verrucomicrobiia; Verrucomicrobiales; Verrucomicrobiaceae.